CGACGUCGCGGAGUCGUCCCCAUACAAAAAGCGCAAACAUCCCGAGAUGUCCCCAUAAAGUGCCGAGCCGACUCUCUCAGAAAAACAGAAAAACAAGCAUUCAAGCUGUUCUUCUUCAGAGACGUCCCCGUAAAGCGCCGAGUCGACUCCAAACAUCGUCAAAAGAAUUUUUAUACAGCCGAGACGUCUCGCGUUGAAGCAGAGACGUCUCCGGAGCGCCUGGGACGCGACUGACACACUUUUGCAGGUUUGUUUGAAUUUCAAA
This 265-nucleotide long non-coding RNA is filed under the name Phoenix dactylifera (date palm). Its description in RNAcentral is "long non-coding RNA (PDAC_LNC015961)". Lineage: Eukaryota; Viridiplantae; Streptophyta; Magnoliopsida; Arecales; Arecaceae. The record is from RNAcentral.